GCAUCAAGAUUAGCACUAUCUCCAAACCGAGCUUCCACUUGAGCCCCUUUACCUAGGAGCACCAUCGUGUGCGUCCUAAAUGGUUUCUUAGUGUCUAGUGCAUUAGGCGCAAACCAUGCACCUAUCUUGCACCAAAACUAACACUAUCUCCAAACAGACCGAAGUGAGAUUCCAUAUGACAUACGUCAUCUAAGAGUUCUAUUAGGUGCGUCUAAAUUAAUUUAUGAGCAUAUGGUAGAUUCCAUGCAAACCAUGCACCUAUC
This 263-nucleotide long non-coding RNA is filed under the name Sorghum bicolor (sorghum). RNAcentral's name for it is "long non-coding RNA (SBIC_LNC018545)". Lineage: Eukaryota; Viridiplantae; Streptophyta; Magnoliopsida; Poales; Poaceae. The record is from RNAcentral.